RNAcentral lists this ribosomal RNA (422 nucleotides) under uncultured bacterium. RNAcentral's name for it is "bacterial SSU rRNA". It matches the Rfam family "Bacterial small subunit ribosomal RNA", at positions 358 to 772 of the family's 1533-position model. The record is from RNAcentral.
GGAAUAUUGGACAAUGGGCGCAAGCCUGAUCCAGCCAUGCCGCGUGAGUGAAGAAGGCCUUCGGGUUGUAAAGCUCUUUAAGCGGGGAGGAAGGUCAGCCAUUUAAUACAUGGUUGAAUUGACGUUACCUGCAGAAUAAGCACCGGCUAACUCUGUGCCAGCAGCCGCGGUAAUACAGAGGGUGCAAGCGUUAAUCGGAAUUACUGGGCGUAAAGCGUGCGUAGGCGGUCUUUUAAGUUGGAUGUGAAAUCCCCGGGCUUAACCUGGGAACUGCAUUCAAGACUGGGAGACUGGAGUCUGGGAGAGGAUGGUGGAAUUUCCGGUGUAGCGGUGAAAUGCGUAGAUAUCGGAAGGAACAUCAGUGGCGAAGGCGACCAUCUGGCCUAAGACUGACGCUGAGGCACGAAAGCGUGGGGAGCAAA